RNAcentral lists this transfer RNA (68 nucleotides) under Sphingobacteriaceae bacterium. Its description in RNAcentral is "tRNA-Val". It matches the Rfam family "tRNA". Rfam says of the family: Transfer RNA (tRNA) molecules are approximately 80 nucleotides in length. Lineage: Bacteria; Pseudomonadati; Bacteroidota; Sphingobacteriia; Sphingobacteriales; Sphingobacteriaceae. The record is from RNAcentral.
CCUGUAACUUAAUGGUAGAGUAUUUCUCUUACAAAGAAAGAAUAGUAGUUCGAUUCUACUCAGGCCCA